This 255-nucleotide ribosomal RNA is filed under the name uncultured bacterium. RNAcentral's name for it is "partial 16S ribosomal RNA". It matches the Rfam family "Bacterial small subunit ribosomal RNA", at positions 99 to 354 of the family's 1533-position model. The record is from RNAcentral.
CGGACGGGUGAGUAACGCGUGGAAAACCUGCCGUAUACUGGGGGAUAACACUUAGAAAUAGGUGCUAAUACCGCAUAAGCGCACAGCUUCGCAUGAAGCGGUGUGAAAAACUCUGGUGGUAUACGAUGGUUCCGCGCCUGAUUAGCUAGUUGGUGGGGUAAUGGCCUACCAAGGCAGCGAUCAGUAGCCGGCCUGAGAGGGUGAACGGCCACAUUGGGACUGAGACACGGCCCAAACUCCUACGGGAGGCAGCAG